AGAAUGUGAGGAAAAAAGGAAAUAUGAAGAAAAUUGAGAGAAAUUUGAGGGGAAAAUGGUGGAGAAAGUGAGGGGGAAAAAGGCGGGAAAUGUGAGGGGGGAAAAUGGCGGAAAAUCUGAGGGGAAAAUGGAGGGAAAUGUGAGGGGAAAUGGAGGGAAAUGUGAGGGGUAAAAAAAGCAGGAAAUUUGAGGGAGAAACGGAGAGAAAUUUGAGGGGGAAAUGGCAUGAAAUGUGAGGGGAAAAUGGUGGGAAAUAUGAGGGGAAAUGUGAGGGGGAAAUGGAGGGAAAUGUGAGGGGAAAAUGGCGGAAAAUUUGAGGGGGAAAUGGUGGAAAAUGUGAGGAGAAAAGGAAAUAUGAANGGUCCUGAGGGGGUGGGGAUGGAGAUACGGGAGGAUGGAGAGGUUCUGGAGGUGGUUGGAGGUGAUUGGGUGUGGCGGUGGGGGGGUUUGGAGAAGGUUGGGGUGGUCCACCAGGAGUGGUGGUGGUCAACCAAGAGUGGUGGUGGUCAGUCAAGAGUCGUGGUGGUCCACCAGGAGUCGUGGUGGUCAACCAAGAGUCGUGGUGGUCCACCAGGAGUUGUGGUGGUCAAUCAAGAGUUGUGGAGGUCAACCAAGAGUCGUGGUGGUCAACCAGGAAUCAUGGUGGUCAACCAAGAGUCGUGAAGAUCAAUCGAGAACCAUGGUGGCCCACCAAGUGUGGUUGUGGUCAAUCAAGAGCCCUGGAGGUCAACCAAGAGUCGUGAAGAUCAAUCGAGAAUCAUGGUGGUCCACCAAGUGUGGUGGUGGUCAACCAAGUGUGGUGGUGGUCAAUCAAGAGUUGUGGAGGUCAACCAGGAAUCAUGGUGGUCAACCAAGAGUCGUGAAGAUCAAUCGAGAAUCAUGGUGGUCAAUCAAGAGUCGUGAAGACCAGUCAAGAAUCAUGGUGGUCCACCAAGUGUGGUUGUGGUCAGUCAAGAGUUGUGGAGGUCAACCAAGAGUCAUGGUGGUCAACCAAGAGUCAUGGUGGUCAAUCAAGAAUCCUGGAGGUCAACCAAGAGUCAUGGUGGUCAACCAGGAGUUGGGGGGUCAACCAAGAAUCAUGGUGGUCAACCAAGAAUCAUGGAGGUCAAGCAAGAGUCCUGGAGGUCUACCAAGAGUCAUGGUGGUCAACUUAAAAUUGUGA
RNAcentral lists this long non-coding RNA (1162 nucleotides) under Zonotrichia albicollis (white-throated sparrow). RNAcentral's name for it is "lncRNA (ENSZALG00000001972.1)". Lineage: Eukaryota; Metazoa; Chordata; Aves; Passeriformes; Passerellidae. The record is from RNAcentral.